Lutra lutra (Eurasian river otter) is the source of this 400-nucleotide long non-coding RNA. RefSeq lists it as uncharacterized. The transcript is spliced from 3 exons. The record is from RefSeq and is a predicted model, not a curated record. NCBI's taxonomy places the organism in Eukaryota, Metazoa, Chordata, Mammalia, Carnivora, Mustelidae.
UCUGGCAGGCAUUUUAUACACAUUUUUCUCAUUUUGUCCUUACAGUACAUGGAUGUGCUAGGCCGCCAUUCUCAGAUGAGGAAACAGGCUCAGAUCAAGUGAAUUAUCCAAGCCUUACAAUCAGAAUCCAUAGUGUUCUCCCGUACAUCACACAUGGCUGGUUCAUUAGCAUGCAUAGCAUCAAGAAGAGGGAAGGGAAGUCCUACUUCAAGCAUGCAGGAUUCCAGGGACCAUGCUGGACACCUGCACAUCAUCUCCGUCAAUGAUCAUAAUCCUGUGUGGGCGACAGAGACAGAUCAGGACUGAAAAUCAUAUGCUUAUGAAGAUGAGUGAACCACGUCACAUUCAGGUCCUGGCCUGAACUGUAUCCCUCCCCCAUUCAUAUGUUCCCAUGCUUCAG